This 188-nucleotide ribosomal RNA is filed under the name uncultured bacterium. RNAcentral describes it as "partial 16S ribosomal RNA". It matches the Rfam family "Bacterial small subunit ribosomal RNA", at positions 1305 to 1500 of the family's 1533-position model. The record is from RNAcentral.
CUGCAACCCGACUCCGUGAAGCUGGAUUCGCUAGUAAUCGCGCAUCAGCCAUGGCGCGGUGAAUACGUUCCCGGGCCUUGUACACACCGCCCGUCAAGCCAUGGGAGCCGGGGGCACUUGAAGUACGCCGCCGCGAGGAGCGUCCUAGAGUGAAACUGGUGACUGGGGCUAAGUCGUAACAAGGUAGC